UAGGGAAUCUUCCGCAAUGGGCGAAAGCCUGACGGAGCAACGCCGCGUGAGUGAUGAAGGUCUUCGGAUCGUAAAACUCUGUUAUUAGGGAAGAACAAAUGUGUAAGUAACUAUGCACGUCUUGACGGUACCUAAUCAGAAAGCCACGGCUAACUACGUGCCAGCAGCCGCGGUAAUACGUAGGUGGCAAGAGUUAUCCGGAAUUAUUGGGCGUAAAGCGCGCGUAGGCGGUGUUUUAAGUCUGAUGUGAAAGCCCACGGCUCAACCGUGGAGGGUCAUUGGAAACUGGAAAACUUGAGUGCAGAAGAGGAAAGUGGAUUUCCAUGUGUAGCGGUGAAAUGCGCAGAGAUAUGGAGGAACACCAGUGGCGAAGGCGACUUUCUGGUCUGUAACUGACGCUGGUGUGCGAGAGCGUGGGGAUCAAACAGG
Molecule: ribosomal RNA, 429 nt
Filed under: Actinomycetes bacterium
Lineage: Bacteria; Bacillati; Actinomycetota; Actinomycetes
Description: Actinobacteria bacterium partial 16S ribosomal RNA
Rfam family: Bacterial small subunit ribosomal RNA
Source: RNAcentral